Humulus lupulus (European hop) is the source of this 6951-nucleotide long non-coding RNA. RefSeq lists it as uncharacterized. The transcript is spliced from 3 exons. The record is from RefSeq and is a predicted model, not a curated record. Lineage: Eukaryota; Viridiplantae; Streptophyta; Magnoliopsida; Rosales; Cannabaceae.
AGAAAUAGUAAUGGAAAAAUAGUGUUUAAAAUAUGAUUUUAUGUUUUUAAUGAGAUUAAAGAGAGAGAAACUUGAGUAGUCAAGUAUUGGACCCAAAUGUCAUAUAAUUUUAAUUGAGGAUUUUUAUAAAAUUAAGAAAGUUUUGCUAAAGGGCUUAUUUGAAAAGAAUUUUAAUAUUUUGGGUCCAAGUGUAAUUUUAAAAAUAAUUUAAAAAAAAAAAAAAAAAAAGAAAAGAAAAGAAAAGGCUUCAGCCUUUCUUUUUUUACCCGAGUCUCUCUCUCUCUCUUCAGAAAACCUCUCUCUCUCUCUCUCUCUCUCUCUCUCUCUCUCUCUCUCUCUCUCUCUCUCUCUCUCCUCUGCGUAUUACUGUUGCCGACGACGCAGGAGUACUUUCCGGCCACCAUUUUUAGCCACGCGCCGGACCGUUGGAUUCAGAGGCCUCCGAACUAUCGACCCACGCGGGAAUCUAGAGCUCACUCGCCGAUUAAACGCCUCAACCACUCGAUUUAAGUUCGGCCACCCCGCGACUUCAAAGUUGCGAUUCGGCCACCUCGGGCAUCCGUUUGCCGAUCCGUCACCACCAUCGUGCUCCUCGUGUUGUGGGCUUCAAAACCCAAUAACUUGUUCCUACAUCUACCAUAGUUGGGUGGUGGGCCCACCACGAGCCACCGCGAUCCACCGUAGACCGACGAUCGAAACUUAGUGUUCGAGGUUCCGAAGUACGUUUUGAGUCUCAGAAAAUCAUCGUUUGACUUAUUGUGGAACCCGAUCAUUUUGGAUUUGUAUGGAUUUGAUUGAUUGACUCUUGGUGAGGAAUUUUAAAAUAAGCUAAGGACCUAAGGUAAGUAAAUCUCACCUUUUGUGCUUAAGUGUAAGAUGCAUGACUACAUUGAUUGUGUACAUCUGAUGAGUUAAGUAUGGUAUGAUGAUGAUGCAUAUGAUAAGUAUGUGAAGAAUGGUUAUAUGAACACCAUAAGGGUGUUGUGUGAUAUGUAAUUGAUGAAUUCUGUGAUAUGUGAAAGAUGUCUUAUUUGGUUAAGAAUGAUAUGAAUUAUGUGCAAGUAUGUGUUCUUAUGUUGAUGGAUAUGUGGAUUACUCUAUGUUCAUGAUUUGUUAUAUGUUAUGAUAUAUGAAGCGUUUAAGUUUUUAGGCUGGAAACCUUAGACCUGAGCCAUAGCUCUACGUUAAGGUAUAACAACGCCACCAACCCAAAGCUUCAUGUAUUAUGACUAAAGAUGUUUUGAGUUAUAUGAGAUGUGAUACAAUGCCUUGAUUGAAUACCAUCAACAUGAGUCAUGAACACGAACAUUGGCAUUUCAGCAUCAGCAUGUAUGCAUGGCAUGUACAGUUAUGUGAUACAUUAUUAUGUGAUAUAAGACCAUGCAUAUGAAUAUAAGAAAAGUUAUGAAAUGUCUUGAAAAGUAUUAUGUAAAGUUAAACAUUUUAAUGACACAAGGCUUAAGCAAAGUGAUAAUAAGAUGUUUAAAACGGGUGCCACUGUUUUGAUGAAGCAAUCAAGUAAGUUCAGUAAAGAAGACGGAAGUCUAUAAGACUUAUAGUGGCUGCCCACUAGUGUGGGCUAGGUCAGAGUUGACCAUUCAGAUAUGUUUGCCAUGUUUCCGUCUUUCUCCUCCAUAUGUGUAAUAAGUAUGGCAGCUAUGGCAACGAUGAAAUGAGUGUUAUGAUGAGCCUAGCUGAGAUGAUGGCUAGCCGGAGGAGAACCCAUGGGAUUCUAUAUGAUAUGUGUAACAAGCCCUGCAGGCAUUGGCUGAAUCAAACAGUGUGCACAAGUGAUAUUGGGCCCAUAAAAAUGUGAAACUAAAAGAAAGAGCAUAAAAGUAAAGUUUGAAAGUGCAUGAGCAAUAAAUGAAAUUCAUAAGUAUAUAAGUCAGCAUAUUAGUAUAUGUGCACUACAAACUCACGACAUUCAUGUGUAUGUGUAUGCAUGAGAUUUGCUUACUGAGCGUUAGCUCAUUAUGUUAUUUUCCAACAUUUUUCCAGGUGUGGCUUUAGCUGUUGAGCAACUUGUGGAGCACGGACUCAGUAGCAAUGCAAUAAUGGUUUAGAGUUUUCAUAUGGCUGCCUUAAAUUUAAAGUAUUCAUACGUGUAAUAAUUUCUACUAAUAAGUUUAUAUAAAAGUUUUUAAUUUUUCUGUAUUUCUUCGUAUCAGUUUAUUUAAUUCUUUUGGUCAAGUGCCUUACAUACUCGCAAACCCUAGAAUUACGAGUAUGUGGCAGACGUACCCUACCUUAGGGACGUUACAAAUGGUAUCAGAGAUUUGAGUUUGUAGAUGUCGUGUACUCGUUAUGUUAUUAGAUUUUGGGAUCUGAAAUGCUACUGAGUUCCGCCACAAGACAAGCCACACGUUAAUGGUUAGUAUAAUUUAUCCAUAUUUUAGUUAAUGUAUGUUAAUGAUGUUGUAUAAUUGUAUUAGAAACUCAUUGUGUGUUUGAGUUUCCAUGAUAUAAGUAUGAGUUUGGAUUGAAUGAAUAUUCUCAUGCACGGUAGAGGAAUUGAAGUUUGUUAUUUAUCUGAAUGCAUGACUUUAUUAUUGAUGUGAUAAAUAAUUGAUGAUUUAUCGAUGUCGAUGUUUGGAUUGUUAAUUGAUAUUCUCAAGCUUUGAAAGUGACCUAUCAGUUCAGUUAGUGUGUUAAGGGUUAAUAUGUCAGGUUAGUGUUUUGGAGAGCAAAGUUUUAGGUUGUUGCUGAGAGCACACAUAAUAAGAGACUUUAGUGAAACAGUAGUAAUAUAUAGAAAAAAAAAAAGAAAAAUACAUAAUACAUUAAGGAUUGGGGUUUUGGACACGUUCUACCUCGUCAAUCAACUUUUGUUGUUCAACUCUAAGGGUCUCCCCAGUAGUUUGCAGUGUCUGAAAUUUUUCCUUCAUAUCGACUGAGUAGUUAGCAAGAAGUGUAGUUAAAGUCUCAUUCUCCUUAACCAACUUCUCCUUCUCUCGAGUCAAUGCCUUGUUGGCAUUUCUAAUGGUUAUCAUCUCUUGUUUUUGUGUUUCUAUAUACCUUUUCAAGUGGUCAACCUCUUGUUCUCUUGCAAGAACCCGUUGGCCUAGGUUUGAGACCGAUGCUGCCGCCUGAGUGGUAAGAACUAAGGAAUCUUUUACAGCUUGUAGGUCUGACCUAUGGGAUAAAAUUAUUUGGUCUUUAGGGGUGAGUAUGCUUUGACCUAUACUAAUGGCCACCUUUUUAUCGAGCAUAGCUGAAUCCUCCACCGUGACAAGGCCAGUAUCAGAAUAAAAUUUGGGAAGCCAAACUCUGGGAAAUUGAGUAUUUCGUUCUGGGAUGUGUACCGUAGGAUACACCAUUAGCUGUGGUAGGGGUGCAGAAAUUUGUGGUGAAGAUGCGAUAGUGGGAAGAUUUGGCUCAGGUAAAGCUAAAAUUAGGUCUAAGUUCAGCUGAGAUGAUGAGGAUGCCAUGGAUUGCUUAGCUUGAGUAAUGGACGGAAGUAAUAAUGAUUUGGUUUUCAAAAGCUUGAGAUUGAUUGUGUUUUAGUGUGUAUGUGAUGAAUUUUAUUUAUAGAAAAAUGUGUUGAACUGUUGGGUCAUUGGAUCCUUGAAUUUGUUUGUUUUCAAGAUAGAUAUCACAGAUUUUAUCUUGUUCAAUGUGUUACGCUACCCUCUCUGAUGAUGAAAGUCAAACUUAUUAGAUGUUGUCGACAUGGAAAUCACUUCUAUUGAUUUUGCGAUCCUGAUUUGAACAUGGAAACAAUUUGUAAAUUGUUGAAUGAAUCGAGGUGAUAAAUGUUAUUUACUGAAUUACUCUGUAGUGUGAAUUACUUUCGGCGAUUAAAUUAUAGUAUAUUAGCUGUUUUAUCCCGAAAGUAAGAUAAUGUAUUACUUGUGUGAAGUGAUGACUGAGUAUUAUUGGUAUAGGUGUUGAAAUGAGACAUGUCUAACUUAUUAGACAUGUGAGAAUUAUUCGUUUUAGUAGAUGAAGUGGUAGAUUGGUCAGUCAAGACUUAUCCCAUGUUUUAUUCAAUGAAGGGAUACUAAGCUAAGUGUGUGAAUUUCCGAGUGGCCACAGUUAUUUGCAUUCUAGCAUAGUAUCAAUGUGCCCUUUAUUAUUUUAUACAUUUGGAAAAAAAAAAAAAAAAAUUUGAUUUUUAAAUGUUUUCUUAGAGAAAGAAUGAGAGUCAGGCUUUUCUGAAAUGGUACCUAAUGAAUGGCCUAUCUCACUAUUUCUCAUUCAGGGCAAGCGGUCGGUUUUGACAACGAAAGGGUUUCAUAAAGACUUGGUUUUAAAGAAUAAUCUUCAUCGGCUAUAUAAUUGUUUUCUAGUUAUCUAAUUUUAUGCAAAAAAAAAAAAAAAAAAAAAAAAAAAUUGACUGUAAGACAUGAAGAUCAAGGAUGUUUUCAUGAUGAUGGUCAUUUUAUCUUCUUACGUUAUGUGGUUUGUGUUCAAAAGUAUGGAUGAUGAUGAUUCAUUUGUAUUUUCGUAUACAUUCAUUGUAAUUUAUACUAUUGUUAUAGCUUAUUUCCUUUCUUUCUAUAUUGUAGUCCUCAUGUGAGGUGUUUACACAUCCUCGCCUUUUUAUAUAUGAUAAGGAUUACAAGUCAGGAAUAAGUUUUGUUUUCGUGGUGAAAGUAAGUGUUGUGUAUAAAAUGUUGUUCUGUUUAUUUGUAAUGGUAGUUCUUGUCUCCGAUUAUCAAAUUUUAGUUUGAAAUUUCGAGGACGAAAUUAUUUUAACGGGGGAAGGAUUGUAAUAUCCAACAUUUUCAUAAUACAUUUAUUUAUAAUAAAUCAGAGUUUUAAUACAUAAAAUGUACAAGUUUACAAAUUUAAGAAAUAGUAAUGGAAAAAUAGUGUUUAAAAUAUGAUUUUAUGUUUUUAAUGAGAUUAAAGAGAGAGAAACUUGAGUAGUCAAGUAUUGGACCCAAAUGUCAUAUAAUUUUAAUUGAGGAUUUUUAUAAAAUUAAGAAAGUUUUGCUAAAGGGCUUAUUUGAAAAGAAUUUUAAUAUUUUGGGUCCAAGUGUAAUUUUAAAAAUAAUUUAAAAAAAAAAAAAAAAAAAGAAAAGAAAAGAAAAGGCUUCAGCCUUUCUUUUUUUACCCGAGUCUCUCUCUCUCUCUUCAGAAAACCUCUCUCUCUCUCUCUCUCUCUCUCUCUCUCUCUCUCUCUCUCUCUCUCUCUCUCUCCUCUGCGUAUUACUGUUGCCGACGACGCAGGAGUACUUUCCGGCCACCAUUUUUAGCCACGCGCCGGACCGUUGGAUUCAGAGGCCUCCGAACUAUCGACCCACGCGGGAAUCUAGAGCUCACUCGCCGAUUAAACGCCUCAACCACUCGAUUUAAGUUCGGCCACCCCGCGACUUCAAAGUUGCGAUUCGGCCACCUCGGGCAUCCGUUUGCCGAUCCGUCACCACCAUCGUGCUCCUCGUGUUGUGGGCUUCAAAACCCAAUAACUUGUUCCUACAUCUACCAUAGUUGGGUGGUGGGCCCACCACGAGCCACCGCGAUCCACCGUAGACCGACGAUCGAAACUUAGUGUUCGAGGUUCCGAAGUACGUUUUGAGUCUCAGAAAAUCAUCGUUUGACUUAUUGUGGAACCCGAUCAUUUUGGAUUUGUAUGGAUUUGAUUGAUUGACUCUUGGUGAGGAAUUUUAAAAUAAGCUAAGGACCUAAGGUAAGUAAAUCUCACCUUUUGUGCUUAAGUGUAAGAUGCAUGACUACAUUGAUUGUGUACAUCUGAUGAGUUAAGUAUGGUAUGAUGAUGAUGCAUAUGAUAAGUAUGUGAAGAAUGGUUAUAUGAACACCAUAAGGGUGUUGUGUGAUAUGUAAUUGAUGAAUUCUGUGAUAUGUGAAAGAUGUCUUAUUUGGUUAAGAAUGAUAUGAAUUAUGUGCAAGUAUGUGUUCUUAUGUUGAUGGAUAUGUGGAUUACUCUAUGUUCAUGAUUUGUUAUAUGUUAUGAUAUAUGAAGCGUUUAAGUUUUUAGGCUGGAAACCUUAGACCUGAGCCAUAGCUCUACGUUAAGGUAUAACAACGCCACCAACCCAAAGCUUCAUGUAUUAUGACUAAAGAUGUUUUGAGUUAUAUGAGAUGUGAUACAAUGCCUUGAUUGAAUACCAUCAACAUGAGUCAUGAACACGAACAUUGGCAUUUCAGCAUCAGCAUGUAUGCAUGGCAUGUACAGUUAUGUGAUACAUUAUUAUGUGAUAUAAGACCAUGCAUAUGAAUAUAAGAAAAGUUAUGAAAUGUCUUGAAAAGUAUUAUGUAAAGUUAAACAUUUUAAUGACACAAGGCUUAAGCAAAGUGAUAAUAAGAUGUUUAAAACGGGUGCCACUGUUUUGAUGAAGCAAUCAAGUAAGUUCAGUAAAGAAGACGGAAGUCUAUAAGACUUAUAGUGGCUGCCCACUAGUGUGGGCUAGGUCAGAGUUGACCAUUCAGAUAUGUUUGCCAUGUUUCCGUCUUUCUCCUCCAUAUGUGUAAUAAGUAUGGCAGCUAUGGCAACGAUGAAAUGAGUGUUAUGAUGAGCCUAGCUGAGAUGAUGGCUAGCCGGAGGAGAACCCAUGGGAUUCUAUAUGAUAUGUGUAACAAGCCCUGCAGGCAUUGGCUGAAUCAAACAGUGUGCACAAGUGAUAUUGGGCCCAUAAAAAUGUGAAACUAAAAGAAAGAGCAUAAAAGUAAAGUUUGAAAGUGCAUGAGCAAUAAAUGAAAUUCAUAAGUAUAUAAGUCAGCAUAUUAGUAUAUGUGCACUACAAACUCACGACAUUCAUGUGUAUGUGUAUGCAUGAGAUUUGCUUACUGAGCGUUAGCUCAUUAUGUUAUUUUCCAACAUUUUUCCAGGUGUGGCUUUAGCUGUUGAGCAACUUGUGGAGCACGGACUCAGUAGCAAUGCAAUAAUGGUUUAGAGUUUUCAUAUGGCUGCCUUAAAUUUAAAGUAUUCAUACGUGUAAUAAUUUCUACUAAUAAGUUUAUAUAAAAGUUUUUAAUUUUUCUGUA